Molecule: ribosomal RNA, 492 nt
Filed under: uncultured bacterium
Lineage: Bacteria
Description: partial 16S ribosomal RNA
Rfam family: Bacterial small subunit ribosomal RNA
Source: RNAcentral
AGUGAACGCUGGCGGUAGGCCUAACACAUGCAAGUCGAACGGCAGCACAGUAAGAGCUUGCUCUUACGGGUGGCGAGUGGCGGACGGGUGAGGAAUACAUCGGAAUCUACUUUUUCGUGGGGGAUAACGUAGGGAAACUUACGCUAAUACCGCAUACGACCUACGGGUGAAAGCAGUGGAUCUUCGGACCUUGCGCGAUUGAAUGAGCCGAUGUCGGAUUAGCUAGUUGGCGGGGUAAAGGCCCACCAAGGCGACGAUCCGUAGCUGAUCUGAGAGGAUGAUCAGCCACACUGGAACUGAGACACGGUCCAGACUCCUACGGGAGGCAGCAGUGGGGAAUAUUGGACAAUGGGCGAAAGCCUGAUCCAGCCAUACCGCGUGGGUGAAGAAGGCCUUCGGGUUGUAAAGACCUUUUGUUGGGAAAGAAAAGCAGCAGGUUAAUACCCCGCUGUUCUGACGGUACCCAAAGAAUAAGCACCGGCUAACUUCGUG